This 383-nucleotide ribosomal RNA is filed under the name uncultured eukaryote. RNAcentral's name for it is "partial 18S ribosomal RNA". It matches the Rfam family "Eukaryotic small subunit ribosomal RNA", at positions 592 to 976 of the family's 1831-position model. The record is from RNAcentral.
CAAUAGCGUAUAUUAAAGUUGUUGCAGUUAAAAAGCUCGUAGUUGGAUUUCUGGUAGGAGUGACCGUUCCGAACUUGAUUGUUCGUGUCUUGUGUUUUCUCCAGCCAUCCUUGUGGAGAACUUUUCUUGCAUUAAUUUGUAGGGAUUGGGACCCGCAUCGUUUACUGUGAAAAAAUUAGAGUGUUUAAAGCAGGCAAUCGCUUGAAUACAUUAGCAUGGAAUAAUAAGAUAGGACUUUGGUACUAUUUUGUUGGUUUGCAUACCAAAUUAAUGAUCAACAGGAACAGUUUGAGGAUAUUCGUAUGAACAUGUCAGAGGUGAAAUUCUUGGAUUUUGAUCAGACGAACUACUGCGAAAGCAUUUAUCAAGGAUGUUUUCAUUAA